This 439-nucleotide ribosomal RNA is filed under the name Cohnella sp. Its description in RNAcentral is "bacterial SSU rRNA". It matches the Rfam family "Bacterial small subunit ribosomal RNA", at positions 333 to 767 of the family's 1533-position model. The record is from RNAcentral. Lineage: Bacteria; Bacillati; Bacillota; Bacilli; Caryophanales; Paenibacillaceae.
UUACUCUUACGGGAGGCAGCAGUAGGGAAUCUUCCACAAUGGGCGAAAGCCUGAUGGAGCAACGCCGCGUGAGUGAGGAAGGCUUUCGGGUCGUAAAGCUCUGUUGCCAGGGAAGAAUAAGAAUAUGUUAACUGCAUAUUCGAUGACGGUACCUGAGAAGAAAGCCCCGGCUAACUACGUGCCAGCAGCCGCGGUAAUACGUAGGGGGCAAGCGUUGUCCGGAAUUAUUGGGCGUAAAGCGCGCGCAGGCGGUUCUUUAAGUCUGGUGUCUAAGUGCGGGGCUCAACCCCGUGAUGCACUGGAAACUGGAGGACUUGAGUGCAGAAGAGGAGAGCGGAAUUCCACGUGUAGCGGUGAAAUGCGUAGAGAUGUGGAGGAACACCAGUGGCGAAGGCGGCUCUCUGGACUGUAACUGACGCUGAGGCGCGAAGCUACUAAA